CCCGCAACGAGCGCAACCCCUAUUGUUAGUUGCCAUCAUUAAGUUGGGCACUCUAGCGAGACUGCCGGUAAUAAACCGGAGGAAGGUGGGGAUGACGUCAAAUCAUCAUGCCCCUUAUGACCUGGG
This 126-nucleotide ribosomal RNA is filed under the name Streptococcus agalactiae. RNAcentral's name for it is "partial 16S ribosomal RNA". It matches the Rfam family "Bacterial small subunit ribosomal RNA", at positions 1086 to 1213 of the family's 1533-position model. The record is from RNAcentral. Lineage: Bacteria; Bacillati; Bacillota; Bacilli; Lactobacillales; Streptococcaceae.